This 21-nucleotide non-coding RNA is filed under the name Arabidopsis thaliana (thale cress). The record is from RNAcentral. Lineage: Eukaryota; Viridiplantae; Streptophyta; Magnoliopsida; Brassicales; Brassicaceae.
AUACUUGCCUCGUUACUUGCC